UAAUAUACUGUACUACGGUUUUAGGUGUUCUUUUUAUUUUAAUAAUACGUUGAUAAAUUACCAAUUUUUUCAAUUUUUUUUUCUUAUCACAAAGCUAGUUCGUCUUUGUGUAUGUUUAAAUUUAUAUUUUUUUAUAGUUAUUGUGCUGUUUAACUUUCUUAUAAAAGAGAGCGAGGAAUUAAAAAGGUGGCCACCGAACAGAAAGUUAAACUGCAAUAUACUAUAAUCUUUUUAGUUCUUGUUUACAUUUUUAACUGAUAAAUUAUGAAUAUAAAAUUUCAAAUUAAUUUAAAUUCAAAAAUAAAAGAACACCAACAUAGAUUUCUUAAACAUUAAAAUUUUACUAUAAGUUUAAAUUACAUUUAAUCAGCACAUUAGUUGAAGUUUUAUAGGAACCAAACAUUUGGCUGGAUCAUGGACUACUCAAAGACGGAGAAUUGGUCAUCGAGCACUCGGCUCGUUUCACCCGGAGGAAGAUUAGCAGCAUCAAUAAGAAGCUCAUCUUAAUAUCAACUGUCCAAAGGAUUGUGAAGAAGAAGAAGUUGUCACAAAGCUGAUGGGAAAUGUGUCGGCACUCGGCUUCGUUUCAACCCGGAGGAAGAUUUGCAGCAUCAAAAAGAAAUUCAACUGAUAAUCAACUGUCAAAAGGUGAAGAAGAAGUUGUCACAAAGCUGAUGGGAAAUGUGUCGGCACUCGGCUUCGUUUCAACCCGGAGGAAGAUUUGCAGCAUCAAAAAGAAAUUCAACUGAUAAUCAACUGUCGAAAGGUGAAGAAGAAGUUGUCACAAAGCUGAUGGGAAAUGUGUCGGCACUCGGCUUCGUUUCAACCCGGAGGAAGAUUGGCAGCAUCAAAAAGAAGAUCACUUAAUUUAGUUGUCCCCCCUUUACGCAUUAGCGCUCAUCUCUCAUCCACUCAUCCAACACAUUGACUACGCCGGCCGGCAACACACAUAUAUUAUACACAUUACCCGUUUUAUAUUAUAUAAUUUUAUUAAUACCUACAUAGUUUAAGUUAUUGUAUAUUUUUUUUUUAUUAUUUGAAUGCAUUCAUAUGAUCAGUUGUGUAUUUAGGAAUUUUAGGAUAAGGGCAACACAUAUUUUGCCGCAUUCCCCCCAUUAAAAAAAAAUUAAAAAACUUCUACACCGCGCAAUAGUGGUCAAACUGUUAAUACCAUAGAAUACCAUGUUAUAUAAAUACUAUAGUAUUUUAUACCUCUAUGGCACACAUGUGUUGUGAAAAUUAUUAAUGAUUGACGUCACUGCGCCAGUACGAAAUAAAAAUUUACCGCCCCUCUAAAUCUUUAAAAUUUUGCCGUUCUGGACAAUUGA
Molecule: long non-coding RNA, 1328 nt
Organism: Rhopalosiphum padi (bird cherry-oat aphid)
Lineage: Eukaryota; Metazoa; Arthropoda; Insecta; Hemiptera; Aphididae
Exons: 4
Source: RefSeq, a predicted model, not a curated record